RNAcentral lists this long non-coding RNA (1071 nucleotides) under Hordeum vulgare. RNAcentral's name for it is "long non-coding RNA (HVUL_LNC018844)". The record is from RNAcentral. Lineage: Eukaryota; Viridiplantae; Streptophyta; Magnoliopsida; Poales; Poaceae.
AACAAAAUAGAGAAUUUAAAAAUUAAGUAUAAGUGUUACUGACGCAGACUUCUACAAGUUUGGAUAGGAGCUAUCUAGCACAUGCAAUAUAUAGCAAGAACAAGCAGACCUUACAAGUUAAUAGUGUUGUCAAACACAUCGUCCAUGCCAUAAAGAUCAAGUAAUCGUUAUAGCUCAGAUAUUGAUAUUGAUAUCUACUACUGUUUAGGUACCAUAGUUUGUUUUCUCUUCUUAGGACUUCUACUCAUGUAUAAAAGGAUAGGUGAACAAUUGAGAUUGACUUCAGAAAAUAGAAAAAUCUCUUCUAUUUCUUGAGUCAAUGCAUCAUAAGUGCAAGCACACAUGACUUCAGAAAAUAGCAGGACCAUGAGAGCGGCAACGCCGACGAUCUUGAUGGGCAUGCCGGUGACCACCAUGUCCUUUAUGGUGAUGUAGCCGGUGCUGAACCACACCACAACCUGGGUGGAGUGAGAGAACAAAGAUCAACUACCGCCUCAACCCAUAAAUAAAAGAAAAACCAAAUAGAAUUAAAAAGUUAAGUAUGGGUGCUACUGGAGUUGACUACUAUAUAGUGCCAAAACAAACAACUAAUGAGACAACACUCCACACCACCAACUUACCAGUUAGGACCAAGUGGCACUACAAGCUCCAUACAUCCAUCAAUCGAUAUUCUCGCCCUCCACAAGAUCAAACUUCGCGAUAGCUGAGGGUCCAUGCAACUUCCUAGGCACACACACACACACACACACACACACACACACACGCACAAAUAGAGAGAGAGAGCAUGAUUAACUGGUGUCAUCAACCCACAUAACAAAAUAGAGAAUUUAAAAAUUAAGUAUAAGUGCCACUGACGCAGACUUCUACAAGUUUGGAUAGGAGCUAUCUAGCACAUGCAAUAUAUAGCAAGAACAAGCAGACCUUACAAGUUAAUAGUGUUGUCAAACACAUCGUCCAUGCCAUAAAGAUCAAGUAAUCGUUAUAGCUCAGAUAUUGAUAUUGAUAUCUACUACUGUUUAGGUACCAUAGUUUGUUUUCUCUUAUUAGGACUUCUACUCAUGUAUAAAANNN